This 543-nucleotide ribosomal RNA is filed under the name Alternaria sp. RNAcentral's name for it is "eukaryotic LSU rRNA". The stretch from base 190 to 343 matches the Rfam family "5.8S ribosomal RNA". Lineage: Eukaryota; Fungi; Ascomycota; Dothideomycetes; Pleosporales; Pleosporaceae. The record is from RNAcentral.
UUUGGGGCUGCGGAGGGAUCAUUACACAAAUAUGAAGGCGGGCUGGAACCUCUCGGGGUUACAGCCUUGCUGAAUUAUUCACCCUUGUCUUUUGCGUACUUCUUGUUUCCUUGGUGGGUUCGCCCACCACUAGGACAAACAUAAACCUUUUGUAAUUGCAAUCAGCGUCAGUAACAAAUUAAUAAUUACAACUUUCAACAACGGAUCUCUUGGUUCUGGCAUCGAUGAAGAACGCAGCGAAAUGCGAUAAGUAGUGUGAAUUGCAGAAUUCAGUGAAUCAUCGAAUCUUUGAACGCACAUUGCGCCCUUUGGUAUUCCAAAGGGCAUGCCUGUUCGAGCGUCAUUUGUACCCUCAAGCUUUGCUUGGUGUUGGGCGUCUUGUCUCUAGCUUUGCUGGAGACUCGCCUUAAAGUAAUUGGCAGCCGGCCUACUGGUUUCGGAGCGCAGCACAAGUCGCACUCUCUAUCAGCAAAGGUCUAGCAUCCAUUAAGCCUUUUUUUCAACUUUUGACCUCGGAUCAGGUAGGGAUACCCGCUGAACUUA